CAUGCAAGUCGUACGAGAAAUCCUGGGCAACUGGGAGAGUAAAGUGGCGCACGGGUGAGUAACGCGUGGGUAACCUGCCCUUGAAUUGGGGAUAACUCUUCGAAAGGGGAGUUAAUACCGAAUAAUAUUCCAAUUCCUCCGGGAGUUGGAAUCAAAGGUGGCCUCUGCAUGCAAGCUAUCGUUUAAGGAUGGGCCCGCGUACCAUUAGCUAGUUGGUAGGGUAAUAGCCUACCAAGGCAACGAUGGUUAGCUGGUCUAAGAGGAUGGCCAGCCACACUGGAACUGAGACACGGUCCAGACUCCUACGGGAGGCAGCAGUGGGGAAUUUUGCACAAUGCCCGAAAGGGUGAUGCAGCAACGCCGCGUGAGGGAUGAAGGCCUUCGGGUCGUAAACCUCUUUCGACCGGAAAAAAUGGCUCCGUGAAGAGCGGGGUCUGAUGG
RNAcentral lists this ribosomal RNA (441 nucleotides) under uncultured bacterium. RNAcentral's name for it is "bacterial SSU rRNA". It matches the Rfam family "Bacterial small subunit ribosomal RNA", at positions 54 to 475 of the family's 1533-position model. The record is from RNAcentral.